This 253-nucleotide ribosomal RNA is filed under the name uncultured bacterium. Its description in RNAcentral is "partial 16S ribosomal RNA". It matches the Rfam family "Bacterial small subunit ribosomal RNA", at positions 524 to 776 of the family's 1533-position model. The record is from RNAcentral.
UACGGGGGGGGCAAGCGUUGUUCGGAAUUACUGGGCGGAAAGGGCUCGUAGGCGGCCAACUAAGUCAGACGUGAAAUCCCUCGGCUUAACCGGGGAACUGCAUCUGAUACUGGAUGGCUUGAGUUCGGGAGAGGGAUGCGGAAUUCCAGGUGUAGCGGUGAAAUGCGUAGAUAUCUGGAGGAACACCGGUGGCGAAGGCGGCAUCCUGGACCGGCACUGACGCUGAGGAGCGAAAGCCAGGGGAGCAAACGGG